AGAUUUUAAAAUUAGCCGAAAGAAUUCAAAUAAUAGGAGAAUCCCCUAUAUUUAAUGAGCAGUUACAAAAGCAAUUUCAAAAUAUUAACAAUUGUAAUUGUAAUUUUUUUCUCUCGCAAUAUAAUAAUUCAGUCUUAGCAAUCUAGCAAUAUCAGAUUCGUAAAUGGAAAACUAAUUUCAAUUUCCAUUGAUGACUGGAAGCUUCUUCACGAGAGAAUUUUGUAGGCCAUGAGCAGAAAUGCUUGGAAAAGGUAUGGAGCCCAACAGCUUUCGUCCCCUUGAAAAUUGUUGAGAUAAGAAAAACUUGUCAUCAUCAUCUGCAGCUUCACAGUGAGAUGUGCAAAGUAGCAGCAGCACCCCAAGGAAAAGCAGAAGCAUCGUCCCUCUCAAUGCAGCCAUUUUUCCGAUCAAGAAGCAAUCAUAUAUUUUCUUUUAUUAUUUUCUGAUAUAAUCGUGUAAUGCUGCUUAUAUAUGAGAGGGAAGGGUGGAUUUUUACUAUAUUAAGGUAUCCAAGUUUGGACCGUCAGUAUCUCGGAUGGUUAGAAAUGAGCAGUUCAGGAACGCCAUCCAGUGACCUGUUAAACCCUAUAAUUUAGACCUUGGGGCUGUAAAUUGUGCCAAGUAACAGAAAUUCUAGUUGUUAAAAAGUUUCCCUACAUCGUGACUUCAUCACUUUUCAUAUUGAUACCUAUUUGAUAGCCAAUGGACAUUUUCACCAAGCCAAAACCAACAUCAAUCUAUCUACCUGGUCUUAUAAAAAUGGAGGAGCAUUUUUCUUUCUUUAAUCAAUUAUACCCUUAUCAACAAUUUCUAAUUAAUUAUUCGUCCUUCAAUUGAUACCAUCGAACCACUUGAUCUAAAAUCUACUAUUAGAAAUAACUAGAUGUAUAAAUUUUGAGAAUUCAUUUUUCCAUUAAAGUCUUCACGCAUAAAGUUUUCGAUAAAUGCGUAAUAACAAGACUUAAAUAUAUGAGAUAUACCAUGUUAAGAAUUAUGAAUUAAUAGAUUGAGACAAAACAAAUGAUUAAGUUGAGAAGAUGUAUAGUAUUUAUGUCUACGAAGCACAAUUGAGAAUGCAUAAAUAGUGUAAAACACUAAAACUAGCAUACGAGGAAAGAUUCUAUAUCGAUUCCAUAAUCAAAGUACUAUGGUAAUAAUCUAUGACAAUUAAAAUAUAUGACAAUAUCACGAAAAUAUGAAAAAUAUAAUUAGCAUCCCAUCAAACAACAAAAACACAUGCAUGCGAAUAAGGGUAGAUUAAAGACUAAUUGAAAUCAUGGUGCGUGCAUAAUAAUGUGCAAAUCACAACUUAAUUGAAAUGUAGAAAAUGCACAAAAAAAAUAAAAAAUAAAAAUAAUAAUAAUAAUAAUUGAGGGAGAUAAUAUAAAGCGUGUUGACUACUGGAAAAGGAUAAUAAGAGUUAUUAGCUACUUGAGAUAUUUUCGUAGCUAUGGACUGCACUAUAUCAGAUAUCCAACAUUCGUUGAAGGAUGUAAUGAUGCUAAUUAGAUAUUUUAUGUAAAAGACACAAAAUUUACAAGUGAAUAUGUGUUUACAUUAGGAGAUGCAGCUAUAUAAUCAAAAUCCUCUAAACAAUAGUUACAACUAGAUUUACCAUGGAAUCUAAGUUUAUAGCCUUGUAUAAACGUGGUGAAGAAGUUGAGUGGCUACAAAAGUUUUUAUAGGAUAUUCCAAGAUGGGCACAAAGCAACAUGUACGAUAAUAAGUCUAUACAUAUACAUCCUAUACAUAUACUACAGGGCAACUACUCUCCAUCGGGAUUAUCUCUAUAUACUAUGUUAGAUCAAAUGAUAACAUUAUGGAUUUGCUAAUCAAAUGGUUAAAUAGAGAAUUAGUUGGAAAGACAUCGAAAUGAAUUGGACAUAUGCCCUUGAGCAAAUGAGUUAAUACAAUGAAAAACCAACUUUGUUGAUUGAAGAUCUUGAGAUCUAGGUUAAAACAAACAAUUGACUUAAUUGAAUCACUAUGGGGGAUAAUAUACCUUGUCCAUCCCUAUGAUGUAAUAAUGAUACCCAUAAGGAUGAAGAAUAAGCAACAUGAUUUUAAUUAUACUUAUGCGUUGAAAAUCAAGCGAAGUAAUGUGGGUUAUUUAUAAUAAGAAAUCAAAUAUGAGAGAGAAGGUCCACUUCUAAGAGAAUUGUGUAAGGCUCAAUUUUUAGAAAGUCUCGCAAAACUAAGCAUAUGCUCAUGAUUAUAAACAAACAUAACAAUUAGAGCUAAAUUUUAUUGAGAAGAAUUCUAUGUGGAGUGUAACAUCAUUUAUGUAUAAAGUAGAACAAUUUAAAUGUCUACUGUUUAGUCAUAAUGGAAGAUUAAAAGGAUAAUGUCUACCUAGACCAUAUAGGUUUACACUAUUGAACUUUAUCAUCAAAUCAUUAUGUUUCUCGUUUCUAUGACUCAAUUUCUCCUGAUACAUUACUAAUUCUUUUGGCGUGGAUUUACAUGUUAAUCGAUCGAUAAGAGUAACUUUCCAUUUAACCAAAAAUUUGAUUUUGACCAUAUUUUUAAUAUUUUAAAAAAGGGCAAAAGAGUAACUUUCUAUUUAUCCCAUUAAAUAAUUACAUUUAUUAAAUUAAAAAUUAAAAAAUAAGAAAAAAACAAACCUGCAACUGCAUUCACGCUUGCGUUGGUGUCUGCAACUCCACCACCGGAAGAAAGGGGAAAUGAAUAUCUAGCACCAACUGCUAUAAAUUAUAAUCGCGGCCAUAUACCUAGGGUCUUGCUUAUUCUAUCCCAACCAAACUAAAGUGUCAGGCUUUGAGCUUUCGAAAAUAAUGUGGAAUGCUCCUUGUCCGAGAGAUUGAAAACCCUAACCGACCCAUUAGUAAAAAUCGAAGAAAAAACCCCCCACCACCUCCCCAAGCAAUAUGGGUGUUUGAAGGGUAGUACUGAGUCGGGUCGAAUUUCUCCAGGUUCCGGUGGAAUCAUCAAGCUGAAAAUGAGCUUUGUCGGUAGGUAUAGGUGUUCGAAGAAGAGUGUCGAGUUGAGUCAGAUCUCUCCAGACUCCAACGGAAUCAUCAAGCUGAAUGAUUUUCGACUCGAUUGUUGUACUGUUGGAGAAGACUGGCUAUGGCGAGGCGGUAAUUCUUGUCCUUGCAAAUGCUCCAAUUCAGUUUGAUGAUUCCACUAUCUAUGGCGAGGUGGGUGACAGUGGUUGGCGGCAAUAUGCUGAGGGAAGUUGAGUAUCUACAAAAAAACAAAAUUUUAACUUAUUAUUUAUUUUAAUGUAGUAAAUAGAAAUUUAUUAUUUUACCUUUGAAAAAUAUUAAAAAUAUGGUCAAAAUCAAAUUUCCUAGUCAACAAAUAAACGUUUGGAUGAAAACUGUCCAAAAGGGCCUCCGCCGUAACGUUUCAAAAGGUUUGAAGUAGCGAUUGCAACAAAUUAAAGAUUUAGAGUAAGUCUACUAAUGUUUUACAGAUUUGGGGCUUCUAAUGCAAUUGUUUCUUACAAAUAUGUAGUUAUUUCGUUUCGAGUAUCCCACUUAUAUAUUUUGUUUUUCUAUAUUGUUAAUUCUAUCAUCAAGUCAUAUUGCGUGAAACUCGACGCAAAACUUUAAAUAAGAC
RNAcentral lists this long non-coding RNA (3585 nucleotides) under Olea europaea subsp. europaea. The record is from RNAcentral. Lineage: Eukaryota; Viridiplantae; Streptophyta; Magnoliopsida; Lamiales; Oleaceae.